GCAAAAGUGAUGUAGUGGUUUGAGCAUUGGAUCAUAACUCUGGAGAUCAGGGUUCGAUUCCCUGCUUGGCCA
Molecule: non-coding RNA, 72 nt
Organism: Phrynosoma platyrhinos (Desert horned lizard)
Lineage: Eukaryota; Metazoa; Chordata; Lepidosauria; Squamata; Phrynosomatidae
Source: the annotation of a GenBank genome assembly